RNAcentral lists this ribosomal RNA (253 nucleotides) under uncultured bacterium. RNAcentral's name for it is "partial 16S ribosomal RNA". It matches the Rfam family "Bacterial small subunit ribosomal RNA", at positions 524 to 776 of the family's 1533-position model. The record is from RNAcentral.
GACAGAGGGUGCAAACGUUGUUCGGAAUUACUGGGCGUAAAGCGCGUGUAGGCUGCUCGGAAAGUCGGAUGUGAAAGCCCUGGGCUCAACCUAGGAAGUGCAUUCGAAACUUCUGAGCUUGAGUAUCGGAGAGGAAGGCGGAAUUCUCGGUGUAGAGGUGAAAUUCGUAGAUAUCGAGAGGAACACCGGUGGCGAAGGCGGCCUUCUGGACGAUUACUGACGCUGAGACGCGAAAGCGUGGGGAGCAAACAGG